CUCCCGUAGGUGAACCUGCGGAAGGAUCAUUAUUGUAUAACCGAGGUGCGAGGGCUGUCGCUGACCCGAAAGGUCAUGCACGCCCGAGUGCCCUCACACACAUCCAUCUCACCCCUAUGUGCACCACCGCGUGGGUCCCCCUUUGGCUUGUUCGGAGGGGGGCUUACGUUUUCACACAAACUUUGUAUGCAGUGUAGAAUGUAUUUUUUGUUUUUGCGAUCACGCAAUCAAUACAACUUUCAACAACGGAUCUCUUGGCUCUC
Molecule: unclassified non-coding RNA, 263 nt
Filed under: plant metagenome
Description: partial contains small subunit ribosomal RNA, internal transcribed spacer 1, and 5.8S ribosomal RNA
Source: RNAcentral